RNAcentral lists this ribosomal RNA (407 nucleotides) under uncultured bacterium. RNAcentral describes it as "bacterial SSU rRNA". It matches the Rfam family "Bacterial small subunit ribosomal RNA", at positions 355 to 776 of the family's 1533-position model. The record is from RNAcentral.
UCAAGAAUAUUCCUCAAUGGGCGAAAGCCUGAAGGAGCGACGCCGCGUGACUGAUGAAGUCCUUCGGGAUGUAAAGGUCUUUUCUCCGGGACGAAACAAUGACGGUACCGGGGGAAUAAGAGGUUGCUAACUCUGUGCCAGCAGCAGCGGUAAUACAGAGACCUCGAGCGUUAUCCGGAUUGAUUGGGCGUAAAGCGUGCGCAGGCGGCUUCUUAAGCCAAUGGUUAAAUCCUAAUGCUCAACAUUGGGACCGCCAUUGGAACUGGGAAGCUAGAGUAUGGAAGGGGUCAGCGGAAUUGCCGGUGUAACGGUAAAAUGUGUUAAUAUCGGCAAGAACACCAGAGGCGAAGGCGGCUGACUAGUACAUCACUGACGCUGUUUGCACGAAAGCGUGGGGAGCGAAUGGG